GAUGAACGCUGGCGGCGUGCCUAAUACAUGCAAGUCGAGCGAACGGACGAGAAGCUUGCUUCUCUGAUGUUAGCGGCGGACGGGUGAGUAACACGUGGAUAACCUACCUAUAAGACUGGGAUAACUUCGGGAAACCGGAGCUAAUACCGGAUAAUAUUUUGAACCGCAUGGUUCAAAAGUGAAAGACGGUCUUGCUGUCACUUAUAGAUGGAUCCGCGCUGCAUUAGCUAGUUGGUAAGGUAACGGCUUACCAAGGCAACGAUGCAUAGCCGACCUGAGAGGGUGAUCGGCCACACUGGAACUGAGACACGGUCCAGACUCCUACGGGAGGCAGCAGUAGGGAAUCUUCCGCAAUGGGCGAAAGCCUGACGGAGCAACGCCGCGUGAGUGAUGAAGGUCUUCGGAUCGUAAAACUCUGUUAUUAGGGAAGAACAUAUGUGUAAGUAACUGUGCACAUCUUGACGGUACCUAAUCAGAAAGCCACGGCUAACUACGUGCCAGCAGCCGCGGUAAUACGUAGGUGGCAAGCGUUAUCCGGAAUUAUUGGGCGUAAAGCGCGCGUAGGCGGUUUUUUAAGUCUGAUGUGAAAGCCCACGGCUCAACCGUGGAGGGUCAUUGGAAACUGGAAAACUUGAGUGCAGAAGAGGAAAGUGGAAUUCCAUGUGUAGCGGUGAAAUGCGCAGAGAUAUGGAGGAACACCAGUGGCGAAGGCGACUUUCUGGUCUGUAACUGACGCUGAUGUGCGAAAGCGUGGGGAUCAAACAGGAUUAGAUACCCUGGUAGUCCACGCCGUAAACGAUGAGUGCUAAGUGUUAGGGGGUUUCCGCCCCUUAGUGCUGCAGCUAACACAUUAAGCACUCCGCCUGGGGAGUACGACCGCAAGGUUGAAACUCAAAGGAAUUGACGGGGACCCGCACAAGCGGUGGAGCAUGUGGUUUAAUUCGAAGCAACGCGAAGAACCUUACCAAAUCUUGACAUCCUUUGACAACUCUAGAGAUAGAGCCUUCCCCUUCGGGGGACAAAGUGACAGGUGGUGCAUGGUUGUCGUCAGCUCGUGUCGUGAGAUGUUGGGUUAAGUCCCGCAACGAGCGCAACCCUUAAGCUUAGUUGCCAUCAUUAAGUUGGGCACUCUAAGUUGACUGCCGGUGACAAACCGGAGGAAGGUGGGGAUGACGUCAAAUCAUCAUGCCCCUUAUGAUUUGGGCUACACACGUGCUACAAUGGACAAUACAAAGGGCAGCGAAACCGCGAGGUCAAGCAAAUCCCAUAAAGUUGUUCUCAGCUCGGAUUGUAGUCUGCAACUCGACUACAUGAAGCUGGAAUCGCUAGUAAUCGUAGAUCAGCAUGCUACGGUGAAUACGUUCCCGGGUCU
RNAcentral lists this ribosomal RNA (1372 nucleotides) under uncultured bacterium. RNAcentral describes it as "bacterial SSU rRNA". It matches the Rfam family "Bacterial small subunit ribosomal RNA", at positions 28 to 1381 of the family's 1533-position model. The record is from RNAcentral.